Molecule: ribosomal RNA, 462 nt
Filed under: Shewanella sp.
Lineage: Bacteria; Pseudomonadati; Pseudomonadota; Gammaproteobacteria; Alteromonadales; Shewanellaceae
Description: bacterial SSU rRNA
Rfam family: Bacterial small subunit ribosomal RNA
Source: RNAcentral
CACUGUUACUGUGACGUUACCUACAGAAGAAGGACCGGCUAACUCCGUGCCAGCAGCCGCGGUAAUACGGAGGGUCCGAGCGUUAAUCGGAAUUACUGGGCGUAAAGCGUGCGCAGGCGGUUUGUUAAGCGAGAUGUGAAAGCCCCGGGCUCAACCUGGGAAUUGCAUUUCGAACUGGCGAACUAGAGUCUUGUAGAGGGGGGUAGAAUUCCAGGUGUAGCGGUGAAAUGCGUAGAGAUCUGGAGGAAUACCGGUGGCGAAGGCGGCCCCCUGGACAAAGACUGACGCUCAGGCACGAAAGCGUGGGGAGCAAACAGGAUUAGAUACCCUGGUAGUCCACGCCGUAAACGAUGUCUACUCGGAGUUUGGUGUCUUGAACACUGGGCUCUCAAGCUAACGCAUUAAGUAGACCGCCUGGGGAGUACGGCCGCAAGGUUAAAACUCAAAUGAAUUGACGGGGCC